AUGAGGGCUCGCGAGAUCGUUGAGGAGAGGAGCCGGGGCCUCCUUGGCCAUGCAUUCUCACUGGUCUUCAGUCACCUUCAGAACCUCGACCCCCAUUUUGACUUUGAUGCUGCCAUAGCCCCCAUGCCCAUGGUUAUCCGAGACAACUUGUCGGACUGGGUGGACGACCAUGUGGACGACCUAGUGGCGGAGUUCAUGCCUGUAGAUGACGCGGCCGUGGUGGUGGUUAGAGAAGACGGCGUGGACGACGAUGAUGCAGAUGGCGCUAGCGACAACUCUAAUGACGAGGACGAAGGCAGUGAGGAUAGCGAAGAGGGUAGCGCCUCUGGCUAG
This 333-nucleotide ribosomal RNA is filed under the name Triticum aestivum (bread wheat). RNAcentral's name for it is "partial small subunit ribosomal RNA". The record is from RNAcentral. Lineage: Eukaryota; Viridiplantae; Streptophyta; Magnoliopsida; Poales; Poaceae.